ACACUCCUGCGGGAGGCAGCAGUGGGGAAUAUUGCACAAUGGGCGCAAGCCUGAUGCAGCCAUGCCGCGUGUAUGAAGAAGGCCUUCGGGUUGUAAAGUACUUUCAGCGGGGAGGAAGGCAAUACGGUUAAUAACCGUGUUGAUUGACGUUACCCGCAGAAGAAGCACCGGCUAACUCCGUGCCAGCAGCCGCGGUAAUACGGAGGGUGCAAGCGUUAAUCGGAAUUACUGGGCGUAAAGCGCACGCAGGCGGUCUGUCAAGUCGGAUGUGAAAUCCCCGGGCUCAACCUGGGAACUGCAUUCGAAACUGGCAGGCUUGAGUCUUGUAGAGGGGGGUAGAAUUCCAGGUGUAGCGGUGAAAUGCGUAGAGAUCUGGAGGAAUACCGGUGGCGAAGGCGGCCCCCUGGACAAAGACUGACGCUCAGGUGCGAAAGCGUGGGGAGCAAACAGGAUUAGAAACCCCUGUAGUCCCAUGA
RNAcentral lists this ribosomal RNA (476 nucleotides) under uncultured organism. RNAcentral's name for it is "partial 16S ribosomal RNA". It matches the Rfam family "Bacterial small subunit ribosomal RNA", at positions 333 to 800 of the family's 1533-position model. The record is from RNAcentral.